RNAcentral lists this ribosomal RNA (301 nucleotides) under uncultured bacterium. RNAcentral describes it as "partial 16S ribosomal RNA". It matches the Rfam family "Bacterial small subunit ribosomal RNA", at positions 509 to 807 of the family's 1533-position model. The record is from RNAcentral.
CAGUCGCCGCGGUAAUACGUAGGUGGCAAGCGUUGUCCGGAAUUAUUGGGCGUAAAGGGCUCGCAGGCGGUUUCUUAAGUCUGAUGUGAAAGCCCCCGGCUCAACCGGGGAGGGUCAUUGGAGACUGGGAAACUUGAGUGCAGAAGAGGAGAGUGGAAUUCCACGUGUAGCGGUGAAAUGCGUAGAGAUGUGGAGGAACACCAGUGGCGAAGGCGACUCUCUGGUCUGUAACUGACGCUGAGGAGCGAAAGCGUGGGGAGCGAACAGGAUUAGAUACCCGUGUAGUCCCUGUCUCUUAUAC